UGGCAGACGGGUGAGUAACGCGUGGAAACGUGCCUUUCACUACGGAAUAGCUCUUGGAAACGAGUGGUAAUACCGUAUACGCCCUCCGGGGGAAAGAUUUAUCGGUGAAAGAUCGGUCCGCGUUAGAUUAGCUAGUUGGUGGGGUAAAAGCCUACCAAGGCGACGAUCUAUAGCUGGUCUGAGAGGAUGAUCAGCCACACUGGGACUGAGACACGGCCCAGACUCCUACGGGAGGCAGCAGUGGGGAAUAUUGGACAAUGGGCGCAAGCCUGAUCCAGCCAUGCCGCGUGAAUGAUGAAGGCCUUAGGGUUGUAAAAUUCUUUCGCCAGGGAUGAUAAUGACAGUACCUGGUAAAGAAGCCCCGGCUAACUUCGUGCCAGCAGCCGCGGUAAUACGAAGGGGGCUAGCGUUGUUCGGAAUUACUGGGCGUAAAGCGCACGUAGGCGGAUUAUUAAGUCAGAUGUGAAAUCCCGGGGCUCAACUCCGGAACUGCAUUUGAAACUGGUAAUCUAGAGUUCAGGAGAGGUUAGCGGAAUACCGAGUGUAGAGGUGAAAUUCGUAGAUAUUCGGUGGAACACCAGUGGCGAAGGCGGCUAACUGGACUGAUACUGACGCUGAGGUGCGAAAGUGUGGGGAGCAAACAGGAUUAGAUACCCUGGUAGUCCACACCGUAAACGAUGAGUGCUAGUUGUCAGCAGGCAUGCCUGUUGGUGACGCAGUUAACGCAUUAAGCACUCCGC
RNAcentral lists this ribosomal RNA (740 nucleotides) under uncultured bacterium. RNAcentral's name for it is "bacterial SSU rRNA". It matches the Rfam family "Bacterial small subunit ribosomal RNA", at positions 96 to 872 of the family's 1533-position model. The record is from RNAcentral.